GAUGAACGCUAGCGGGAGGCUUAACACAUGCAAGCCGAGGGGUAUAUUGUUUUCGGACAAUAGAGACCGGCGCACGGGUGCGUAACGCGUAUGUAACUUGCCCUGUUGAGGGGGAUAGCCCAGGGAAACUUGGAUUAAUACCUCAUAAUACUUUGACUGGCAUCGGUUGGAGUUGAAAGAUUUAUCGCAACAGGAUAGAC
Molecule: ribosomal RNA, 200 nt
Filed under: uncultured bacterium
Lineage: Bacteria
Description: partial 16S ribosomal RNA
Rfam family: Bacterial small subunit ribosomal RNA
Source: RNAcentral